UCCCUGGUAUCUCAGAUGGUAAUAAAGAAUCUGCUUGCAAUGCAGGAGAUCCAAGUUCGAUCCCUGGGUGGGGAA
Molecule: transfer RNA, 75 nt
Filed under: Bos taurus (domestic cattle)
Lineage: Eukaryota; Metazoa; Chordata; Mammalia; Artiodactyla; Bovidae
Rfam family: tRNA
About the family: Transfer RNA (tRNA) molecules are approximately 80 nucleotides in length. Their secondary structure includes four short double-helical elements and three loops (D, anti-codon, and T loops).
Source: Rfam by way of RNAcentral